Thalassophryne amazonica is the source of this 169-nucleotide long non-coding RNA. RefSeq lists it as uncharacterized. The record is from RefSeq and is a predicted model, not a curated record. The transcript is spliced from 3 exons. Lineage: Eukaryota; Metazoa; Chordata; Actinopteri; Batrachoidiformes; Batrachoididae.
GUGAAGUGCAUGCUGCAGUAAACAGCCAGCCGAGUCAACUGAACAAAGUUUUCCAUCCAGAAAGUUUUGUAGAGUGCAUGGACUUGGUUUCAAAGCCUAAUUCCACAGCGCCGGUGUGGGAAUAUUUCAGACUGAAGUCAAAUGAGUGAGGAGAACCAAAAGUGAAUGA